AACGAACGCUGGCGGCAUGCCUAACACAUGCAAGUCGAACGAGACCAUCGGGUCUAGUGGCGCACGGGUGCGUAACGCGUGGGAACCUGCCCUUAGGUUCGGAAUAACUCCCCGAAAGGGGUGCUAAUACCGGAUAAUGUCUUCGGACCAAAGAUUUUUCGCCUUUGGAUGGGCCAGCGUUGGAUUAGGUUGUUGGUAGGGUAAAAGCCUACCAAGGCGACGAUGCAUAGCUGGUCUGAGAGGAUGAUCAGCCACACGGGGACUGAGACACGGCCCAGACGCCUGCGGGAGGACGCAGCCGGGACUCUUGCGGGAGGGGCGAAAGGGUGAUGUAGCAAAGUGGCGUGAAUCAUGAAGGACUUAGGCUUGGAAAGUAAUGUGAGCGGGGAGGAAGAAAGUCUUUUUAACCCGUGAACAUAUUGACGGUACCGGAAGAAGAAGCUCCGGCUAACUCCGUG
This 458-nucleotide ribosomal RNA is filed under the name uncultured bacterium. Its description in RNAcentral is "partial 16S ribosomal RNA". It matches the Rfam family "Bacterial small subunit ribosomal RNA", at positions 29 to 507 of the family's 1533-position model. The record is from RNAcentral.